RNAcentral lists this transfer RNA (89 nucleotides) under Clostridium botulinum A2 str. Kyoto. Its description in RNAcentral is "tRNA-Leu". It matches the Rfam family "tRNA". From Rfam's summary of the family: Transfer RNA (tRNA) molecules are approximately 80 nucleotides in length. Their secondary structure includes four short double-helical elements and three loops (D, anti-codon, and T loops). Lineage: Bacteria; Bacillati; Bacillota; Clostridia; Eubacteriales; Clostridiaceae. The record is from RNAcentral.
UGCCGGAGUGGUGGAAUUGGCAGACGCAACGGAUUCAAAAUCCGUCGAGGGUAACUUCGUGCGGGUUCGAUUCCCGCCUUCGGCACCAU